Neogale vison (American mink) is the source of this 235-nucleotide long non-coding RNA. RefSeq lists it as uncharacterized. Lineage: Eukaryota; Metazoa; Chordata; Mammalia; Carnivora; Mustelidae. The transcript is spliced from 3 exons. The record is from RefSeq and is a predicted model, not a curated record.
ACUGGAGAAUGGGUUGAAGCUCACCAUGCUGGGGACCCAGAUCACACAUAAGGAAAUUGAUGCUUCUAGGAAUGAAGCACCUUUGCCUAGAUCACAGAAACAUCAACCAACACCUUGGAGACAGCUUAUGAAAAAGAGCCAGACUGCCUUGUCCAGAGAGCUUACCGAAAACACCAGGAAUACCAGAAGCCCCUGGUGUUUCCAGCUUCUAAGACUUUCGAGGAUUCCCCAGGGU